This 407-nucleotide ribosomal RNA is filed under the name uncultured bacterium. RNAcentral describes it as "partial 16S ribosomal RNA". It matches the Rfam family "Bacterial small subunit ribosomal RNA", at positions 30 to 526 of the family's 1533-position model. The record is from RNAcentral.
CUUGAACGCUGGCGGCAGGCCUAACACAUGCAAGUCGAGCGGAGCGGCGGACGGGUGAGUAAUUCCUAGGAAUCUGCCUGGUAGUGGGGGAUAACGUCCGGAAACGGGCGCUAAUACCGCAUACUAUCAGAUGAGCCUAGGUCGGAUUAGCUAGUUGGUGGGGUAAAGGCCUACCAAGGCGACGAUCCGUAACUGGUCUGAGAGGAUGAUCAGUCACAGAGGAACUGAGACACGUUGCAGAGUCCUACGUGAGGCAGCAGUGGGGAAUAUUGGACAAUGGGCGAAAGAAGGGUCCAGCCAGGCGGCGUGUGUGAAGAAGGUCUUCGGAUGGUAAAGCACUUUAAGUUGGGAGGCGUUACCAACAGAAUAAGCACCGGCUAACUUCGUGCCAGCAGCCGCGGUAAUAC